GGGGAAUAUUGCGCAAUGGCCGAAAGGCUGACGCAGCGACGCCGCGUGUGGGAGGAAGCCCUUCGGGGUGUAAACCACUGUCAGAAGGGAAGAAACUCGGGCUUUCGAACAGGGAGUUCGAUUGACGGUACCUUCAGAGGAAGCACCGGCUAACUCCGUGCCAGCAGCCGCGGUAAUACGGAGGGUGCAAGCGUUGUCCGGAUUUAUUGGGUUUAAAGGGUGCGUAGGCGGAUUGGUAAGUCAGUGGUGAAAGGCAGCGGCUCAACCGUUGAGUUGCCGUUGAUACUGCCAGUCUUGAGUGCACUAGAGGUAAGUGGAAUUUAUGGUGUAGCGGUGAAAUGCAUAGAUACCAUAAAGAACACCAAUAGCGAAGGCAGCUUACUAGAGUGUAACUGACGCUGAGGCACGAAAGCGUGGGGAUCGA
RNAcentral lists this ribosomal RNA (424 nucleotides) under uncultured bacterium. RNAcentral describes it as "bacterial SSU rRNA". It matches the Rfam family "Bacterial small subunit ribosomal RNA", at positions 356 to 771 of the family's 1533-position model. The record is from RNAcentral.